Molecule: long non-coding RNA, 292 nt
Organism: Parus major (Great Tit)
Lineage: Eukaryota; Metazoa; Chordata; Aves; Passeriformes; Paridae
Exons: 2
Source: RefSeq, a predicted model, not a curated record
CAGCGCCGGGGCCCCCAGGACGCCCAGGAGGAGGAGGAGGAGGAGGAGGAGGCAGCGGCUGCCCAGGGCCAUGGCCAUGGCGUUCUUCCUCCGAAGGAAAAGCUGACGGAGCCAUUGGGGAGCGGCUGUGCGGCUUCAGGCCCGGCCCAGCCCCAAGUCCUAACUCUGCUGUGCCUCCUCCUCCUCCUGCUCUUCUGCCGCUGCCAGCUCAUUGCACCCGGCCCAAGAUGCUGCUGCUCAGCCCCAGAAGUUUGGGAGAAUAAAUAAAAGGAAUUAAGUGUUUUAAUAACGA